UUGGAGGGCAAGUCUGGUGCCAGCAGCCGCGGUAAUUCCAGCUCCAAUAGCGUAUAUUAAAGUUGUUGCAGUUAAAAAGCUCGUAGUUGAGUUUCGGGAUCAGAUUGUCGGUCGUGCCUCGGUACGCACUGGCAUUAUUGGUUCCUACCUUCUGAAGAACCGCGAUGUCAUUAAUUUGGUGUCGUGGGGAAUCAGGACUGUUACUUUGAAAAAAUUAGAGUGUUUAAAGCAGGCGCACGCUUGAAUACAUUAGCAUGGAAUAAUGAAAUAGGACGUUUGAUUCUAUUUUGUUGGUUUCUAGGAUCGACGUAAUGAUUAAUAGGGAUAGUUGGGGGCAUUAGUAUUCAAUUGUCAGAGGUGAAAUUCUUGGAUUUAUUGAAGACUAUCUACUGCGAAAGCAUUUGCCAAGGAUGUUUUCAUUAAUCAAGAACGAAAGUUAGGGGAUCGAAGACGAUCAGAUACCGUCGUAGUCUUAACCAUAAACUAUGCCGACUAGGGAUCGGAUGAUGUUAAUUUUUUAAUGACUCAUUCGGCGCCUUACGGGAAAC
RNAcentral lists this ribosomal RNA (548 nucleotides) under uncultured Glomeromycotina. RNAcentral describes it as "SSU rRNA". It matches the Rfam family "Eukaryotic small subunit ribosomal RNA", at positions 548 to 1098 of the family's 1831-position model. Lineage: Eukaryota; Fungi; Glomeromycota. The record is from RNAcentral.